UGCGCAGGCGGUUGUGCAAGACAGGUGUGAAAUCCCCGGGCUCAACCUGGGAACUGCAUUCAAAACUGACGAGCUAGAGUAUGGUAGAGGGUGGUGGAAUUUCCUGUGUAGCGGUGAAAUGCGUAGAUAUAGGAAGGAACACCAGUGGCGAAGGCGACCACCUGGACUGAUACUGACACUGAGGUGCGAAAGCGUGGGGAGCAAACAGGAUUAGAUACCCCUGUA
Molecule: ribosomal RNA, 225 nt
Filed under: uncultured Pseudomonas sp.
Lineage: Bacteria; Pseudomonadati; Pseudomonadota; Gammaproteobacteria; Pseudomonadales; Pseudomonadaceae
Description: partial 16S ribosomal RNA
Rfam family: Bacterial small subunit ribosomal RNA
Source: RNAcentral